AAUGACAUGUAAAAUAACCUUGUUUCUAAUUUAAAUUAAAAAAAUUGAGAGAAAAAAAUAUAACAUAAAAAAAAGAACUGGUGAGUUUUGAAGUAUACAUGUACAUUUAAUUUGAGUCUGUGGUAAAGGAGACCUGGGCUUUGAAAGGGGCACAGUAUGUGAGAUGUUGAGGGCUGUUGUCACUAAAGGAGUAGACAUGUCUUUGUGGCAGAGUUGUUGCUUGACAUUGUUCAGAGCAGGUAUGGUUUCUUGGUCCCAUAUUACUAAGAAGGUGUUUUCAUUUGGGGAUGUAAACGAAUAUAAUGAAUUAUAAAAGGAGUUUUCACUCUAUACAUAUAUUAAAUAGACAGAUAGAAGGACAGAGAUCUGUCUGCCUCCUCAGAGAGAUGGCGGAAAGAGAGAGCAGGUACGAUUUUAACAGAGCAAAUGCUUGGAAAAAAAUAAUACAUAGUUUGGCCUGUUCUGCAGAGGAAUGUACCCAUUGGUAGCUCUGAACUAUGUGACAAUGUAUUGGGAAGUGGUGACUAUUUGACAUGGAACUAAGAGAGAGGAGGAGCAAUCUCCAGUAUUCUCCAGGACAGUAGGGUACUGUAGUUUAAAACAAUUGUAAUCCCUAUUUCACAGAGAACAGAAAAGAGGAGUUUGAGAGAACCCAACACAAAGAAGUGAUGUUUCAAGCAGAUAAUUAUUACAGUGAUUGGUCAGUAUGCAUUGUAUAUAUGUAUUUAGUUAUACCUGUAUCCCAUAAAUCUGUUUAAUUAUCAUAUGCUUACUAAAAUACUUUGAGAAAUAUUGUCUUAUGGUUCUACGAAUACCAGCCUAAAAUGUCAUGGGGCAGCAUGAUUUCCAGAAGCUCUUUCCAGGGAGGGGAACAACUCAACUACCUUGUCCUCAUUUUAAGCUUUUUGUCAAAUGGCAUCGCAGAGGCUUUUUGGUGACCAGUUGUGGUCAUUCUCAGAGGCAGCUUUGUGACUUUAGAGUAGUUUCCAGCCUGUAAUGAUUCUGUAUUCUUGUUCUUAUUUACUAAUUCUUUGUGGACCUUGGAACAAUGCAAGUUUUAUGGGGGCAUGGGGUUGUCUGGUUUUAAUUGUACCAACAAUAUUUAGAAUAAUGAUAGAGUCAAGGCAGGUGGAUUUGUGAAUUCAAGUCCAUCCUGGUCUACAAAAUGAAUUCCAG
RNAcentral lists this long non-coding RNA (1176 nucleotides) under Cricetulus griseus (Chinese hamster). RNAcentral describes it as "lncRNA (ENSCGRG00015031552.1)". Lineage: Eukaryota; Metazoa; Chordata; Mammalia; Rodentia; Cricetidae. The record is from RNAcentral.